GUGCACCUUUUUUCCUUUCAUUUAGUUUUUUUGAAUAAAAAUUACUUUUAAAUUCUGAUUUCCAUUUUUUUUUAAAUUUGUUCCUUAAUUUUUUUUUAUUGCAACCCAUUAAUUCUUAAUAAAUAGGCUUUACCUUGACCUGACUUUAGAGGGAGUGGUCUUUGAAAUUUAAACUAAAAAAUUUAAGUUGGACGGAGGUAUAAAGGCUUUUAUGUUAAGUGAAAUUUAUCGUGUAUUGUCGAUUAGUAAACAGGUUUCUCUAAUAGUUUAAAAGGCCGCCAGUAUGUUUUGGUUUUUAAAACUAUAUUACCAUUUUUUGUUAUUCAUAAUAGGGUAUCUAAUCCU
Molecule: ribosomal RNA, 345 nt
Filed under: Atypus sp. LIF_2016_041
Lineage: Eukaryota; Metazoa; Arthropoda; Arachnida; Araneae; Atypidae
Description: partial 12S ribosomal RNA
Source: RNAcentral